RNAcentral lists this ribosomal RNA (1196 nucleotides) under Hammondia heydorni. RNAcentral describes it as "bacterial LSU rRNA". It matches the Rfam family "Bacterial large subunit ribosomal RNA", at positions 1154 to 2440 of the family's 2925-position model. Lineage: Eukaryota; Apicomplexa; Conoidasida; Eucoccidiorida; Sarcocystidae. The record is from RNAcentral.
UAAUUCUGCACCUAAAAUGAACAAUAAAAUAUUUUUUUAUCGAAGUAAUGGGAUCUAUUAACUAAAAUAGAUCGGUAGGGGAGCGUUCUACAUUAAAAUAAAGCAAAGUUAUUAAAUUUUGUGAAUAAAGUAGAAGUGAGAAUGUCGGUUUAAGUAACGUUAAAUAUUAAGAAGAAUCUAAUACCUCAAAAACUCAAAAGGUUCCUAUGAAAGGGUACACCGCAUAGGGUUAGUCGGGGCCUAAGAUAAGAAAUUUAUUGUAAUCGAUGGGAAUCAAGUUAAUAUUCUUGAACCAUAUUUAAUAGAUAUACAAGUAGUGACCUGAAUAUAAAUUUUAGGUAUUAAAAUAAUAAAUGAUUUUUUACUUAAAAUUAAAAUUUAUGCUAGAAAAAUGAUAUUGUAUAAUUAUAAAUAUGCCCGUACUAAAACUGACACAAGUGAGUAGGUACUGUAAUGUACUAAGAGGACGAAAUAAAUUUCUUUAAGGAACUCGGCAAAACAAUCCCUGUAACUUCGGGAUAAAGGAUGCCCUAUAAGGCUGCAAUUAAAAAGUUCAAGGGACUGUUUAUCAAAAACACAGGUAUCCGCAAAAUGUAAUUAUGAAGUAAGGAUACUGACACCUGCCCAGUGGUAGUAAGUUAAAAAAAAUUUUUAUGUAAUACAGAUAAUUUUUUUAUAAGCUCUAGUAAACGGCGGCUGUAACUAUAACGGUCCUAAGGUAGCGAAAUUCAUUGUCGGGUAAGUUCCGACCCGCACGAAAGGUGUAACGACUUGAACACUGUCUUUAAGAAAUAUUCGGUGAAAUAGAAAUGUUUGUAAAGAUACAAACUUUUUACAUCAGGACAGACAGACCCUUUGAAGCUUUACUGCAAUUUGAAAUUGAUAUUAAACUUUAUUGAUAUAGUGUAAGUGGGAAGUUUAUAAUACUAAUGAAACACCACCUUAAUAAAUUUUAAUUUCUAAACAUAAUUCUUUUUAUCAUAUGAGAUAAAAAUUUCUAAAAAGUAGUUCGACUGGGGCGGUUGCCUCCUAAAGUGUCAUCGGAGGUGCACAAAGGUGUUUCCUUUUAAUUCCUAUAUAAUAUUGAGAUUUAUACAUGUGAGGGUUAAAUAGUAAAAAGGCUUGAUUGUGAGAGUGACUACUUAAACAAGGACGAAAGUCGGUCUUAGUGAUCCCGACAACUGCUAAGUGGUAGG